UGGUUGUUAUGCUGCUGUAUGGGAGGAUUAGCUUGCUGUGAUGCAUUGAACUGAUUCGGUGCCUGAGCUAGAUUAUGUUGCAGUUGGGCAUACCCUCCUCCGUGGUUGUUAUGCUGCAGGAGAGGAUUAGCUUGCUGUGACACAUUGAACUGACUUGGUGCCUGAGACAGAUUAUGUUCCCAUCCCUUGGUUAUUAUGCUGAUUCGGUGUCUGUUGCAGACUAUACAUAAAAAAAAAAGUGUUAGAAAAUGUGGAUCUUACCUCUGCAGGCUGUUGCAAGGAGCAGCCAACAACACUAGAUAGGACAAGCUACUUUACAUUUAGCAGCAAAACAACAAGUACGUCAGCAACUAGGAAGUUUGUGAAUACGUAUAUUAAACUAAAUAACCAAAACAAAUAGAAUAUGCAAAUUAAUUAUCAAAACUAACAUUGGAACUAGAAAUGUGAUUGCUAAUACUGAAACCAUCGGAAGAAGCAGAAGCAAAAGCAAAAAUUGUGGCAGUUCUGAAGGUUAAAGUUUAUAAGGAAUUUUUGUCGAAUGAAGAGCAUUUGAAAGGGCAUAAUAGAGGAAGGGGAGAAUUG
This 582-nucleotide long non-coding RNA is filed under the name Capsicum annuum. Its description in RNAcentral is "long non-coding RNA (CANN_LNC003847)". The record is from RNAcentral. Lineage: Eukaryota; Viridiplantae; Streptophyta; Magnoliopsida; Solanales; Solanaceae.